Long non-coding RNA from Dreissena polymorpha, 1054 nucleotides. RefSeq lists it as uncharacterized. Lineage: Eukaryota; Metazoa; Mollusca; Bivalvia; Myida; Dreissenidae. The record is from RefSeq and is a predicted model, not a curated record. The transcript has 4 exons.
CGUCUAUUGAUAACGAAACGAUAAUUUGUCAACAAUGAGAAUCAGAUACUUGGCUUAAUAAUUUUCAUUUAAAAUGUCUAAUUUGGAUAUAAUUCGGAAUACAAAACGAAACUUAAAAGGUAUUGAAAACAACAACGUUCAAAAGAACAAUGUGGAUUUCAAUAGAAAGACUAUUUCCACCGACAAUCAGGAUUUCCGGUAUGCCCACUGUUAUUUUGACGAUUUUUCUAUCGGUUCGUCGGUAAGCGUGACCACAUGUGACAACAGCGAUGCUAGUUGGAUAUAAAAUUGGUAGACGUGUCGUUGAACUCGACACAUUGACCGAAUCGCUUUUAGCAUGCAGUGCUUGUCAAGUGCCCAUGAAUUUACUUAACACUGUAGAAAGCAGGGAUUUCGGACAGGCAUGUGUUUUGGACAUACAGUUUAGCAAUUGUGGUGCAGUAAAUAAUGUGGCUACUGGACGGAAACAUGGCAGAGUUUAUGACAUGAUCACAAAGCUUGCAUUUGGGUAAAUCAAAAACUGGGUGUUUCACCUGGGACUUUCACAUCGAAACUGGCCCUUCUCCAUGACCUUCAGCACAAAAAAGAAAGGCUAUAACUGUUACUCGUGCAGCAAAACAGUGACGCAUAAGACUUAAAACUCGAACGGCAUUCAAAGGACAGUGCAAGAAGUACAAGCGGGACCAACAUACAGUUCAAACAUAGAGGACCAAGACGUUGAAGUUACAACUAUACCCCCACCUAUACCCAAGCCUGGUCCAGCAGGGCUAGACACUACUGGGAAGGAAUUUGUUUUCUUUGAUUUGGAAACAAGAGGGUUAGAGCACACUUCUCACAUAAUUCAGAUAGCUGCAGUGCAUUCAACUGGUCAGAAGAUAUCCUUGCAAGCGUCAGAAAUAACUGGAGUGACAGUUGUUAGCGACUCUAUGCUUGUCAAGAGACAAACAGUAACAGCUGUCCCCAUCAAAUCUGCAUUGACAAGUUUUAUAACAUUCUUACAGAAAUGUUCACCAAUUAUUUUAGUUGGGCAUAAUAUAGAGUCUUUUGAUUGUAA